RNAcentral lists this ribosomal RNA (439 nucleotides) under uncultured bacterium. RNAcentral describes it as "partial 16S ribosomal RNA". It matches the Rfam family "Bacterial small subunit ribosomal RNA", at positions 339 to 795 of the family's 1533-position model. The record is from RNAcentral.
CUACGGGGUGCACCAGUGAGGAAUAUUGCACAAUGGGGGGAACCCUGAUACAGCAACGCCGCGUGGAGGAUGACGCAUUUCGGUGUGUAAACUCCUUUUAUAUGUCAAGAAAAUGACGGUAGCAUAUGAAUAAGCACCGGCUAACUCCGUGCCAGCAGCCGCGGUAAUACGGAGGGUGCAAGCGUUACUCGGAAUCACUGGGCGUAAAGGACGCGUAGGCGGGUUGGAAAGUCAGGUGUGAAAUCCUACAGCUUAACUGUAGAACUGCACUUGAAACUUCUAAUCUAGAGUAUGGGAGGGGGAGAUGGAAUUAGUGGUGUAGGGGUAAAAUCCGUAGAUAUCACUAGGAGUACCUAAAGCGAAGGCGAUCUCCUGGAACAUUACUGACGCUAAGGCGUGAAAGCGUGGGGAGCAAACAGGAUUAGAUACCCCCGUAGUC